Long non-coding RNA from Anolis carolinensis (green anole), 883 nucleotides. RefSeq lists it as uncharacterized. Lineage: Eukaryota; Metazoa; Chordata; Lepidosauria; Squamata; Anolidae. The transcript has 4 exons. The record is from RefSeq and is a predicted model, not a curated record.
AGCAAUUGACUGCGCUCAGGACAAGGAGAAUGAAGCUUGGGGAUCUCCACCAAAGACGUAGUACUUGUGAAGAUGUGGAUUCUUCUUCUAAUUGUGAACAAAGGGUAUUGCUGGCAGCCCCUCAUGACACACCAAGCCUUCCACUCAAUCACAUCUACCCCGAACACUCAUGUCCGGCCUACCUGAACCCAACUGACAACCGUAAUCCAGAGGAUCUUUUCACUGGCUGCCCCAAGAUCUGCUGGAAUAAAUUCUAGAGCUAAAUGACCUGUCGGAACUUAAAACAUGUGUGAAGACAUAUCUCUUCUGGCAGGCCUACCCAAUAUUAGUCAACAACAGGAGAGCUGCAGAUUUCCUGUCCCUGGCCUAAGCAGUUUUGGUUGAAGAGUAUCAGAAUGGCAGACAUCAGGUUGUAUGCUAUUUUCUCAAGAUUACACUGCAUCCAAAAUGGCUUACUGUUAUAUCAGAAAAAAUACACAAAUAUUUCCAGAUAAUUAAGUGACAAUUGUAGGCCAGUCCCACCUGGAUAAUUUCUAGGCAGCUUCAGCAGCCUUUGUGGCUGAAAUUAACCAGGAUUUGCCCCCACAGAGCGGGUGGAAAAAAAAGUAGACAGAGGAACAAACAUGGUUUGCAGUUAGAGAAAAGCUCGCUUCCCAAUUUUUCUUACUAAGUGGGGAGGCUUGGAAGCUGUGAUCUAUUAAAUACUGGCAUAACUGAGUGAAUCUCUGCUUAAAGUUAGAGCGCUGUAAGGGGCUGCAAUUUUGGUCCUGAAGGAAAUAUAUUUGCAUUUACUAUCUUUGGCGUUGAAGGAGCUGGGGCUGCCACUACAAAAGAGACAGGCACAAAUGUUCAUAAAUCGAUGAACACCAUAUUGUGGAAUGAG